This 301-nucleotide ribosomal RNA is filed under the name uncultured bacterium. RNAcentral's name for it is "partial 16S ribosomal RNA". It matches the Rfam family "Bacterial small subunit ribosomal RNA", at positions 509 to 807 of the family's 1533-position model. The record is from RNAcentral.
CAGUCGCCACGGGAAUACGAAGGGGGCUAGCGUUGCUCGGAAUUACUGGGCGUAAAGGGAGCGUAGGCGGACUGUUUAGUCAGAGGUGGAAGCCCAGGGCUCAACCUUGGAAUUGCCUUUGAUACUGGCAGUCUUGAGUACGGAAGAGGUAUGUGGAACUCCGAGUGUAGAGGUGAAAUUCGUAGAUAUUCGGAAGAACACCAGUGGCGAAGGCGACAUACUGGUCCGUUACUGACGCUGAGGCUCGAAAGCGUGGGGAGCAAACAGGAUUAGAUACCCCUGUAGUCCCUGUCUCUUAUAC